UACGUAGGAUGCAAGCGUUGUCCGGAAUUAUUGGGCGUAAAGAGCGCGCAGGCGGUUUGAGAAGUCAGAUGUGAAAGAGGCCGGCUUAACCGGACAAGGGUCAUUUGAAACUGACAGACUAGAGUACGCAGAGGAUAGCGGAAUUCCCGGUGUAGUGGUGAAAUGCGUAGAUAUCGGGAGGAACACCAGUGGCGAAGGCGGCUAUCUGGGCUGAAACUGACGCUGAGGCGACGAAGGCUAGGGUAGCAAACGAGGAAG
This 258-nucleotide ribosomal RNA is filed under the name uncultured bacterium. RNAcentral describes it as "partial 16S ribosomal RNA". It matches the Rfam family "Bacterial small subunit ribosomal RNA", at positions 524 to 780 of the family's 1533-position model. The record is from RNAcentral.